AGGCCGUGGGGCUCAUAAGAAGUAUUAGUACAUUCGAGUUUUUGACCAUCGACACUUCUCACACGUAAUACAUUAAGCAUGAAUUGACCAAAGAUAGAAGAAUGCUAGCUCACAAGCAAACAGCAAUUCUUGACAUCAGAAAACAAGGUUCCCCAACAAUAUAGAAGUUAGGGUAACUGUUAGGUUAUCAUCAAGCUCUGUACUUAUGGGGAGUGAUUCCACAAAAGCCGAGGCAAGAGAGACAACCAAGAAACCUAAUAACAUCUCCCAGCUUUUCUGAACAUAUCCGAACGAGGCGAAAUAAUACAUAAACCUGUCACCAUAUUAACUGAUCACUAACCAACCUUCUACAUUACGCAUCAGCUCAAACAGCAUCAACAAAGUUAUGACAUGAGAUUAUGUAAGAGUAAGACUUACCCAACAGAAGCCACGAAACCAGACAGGGCCAUUGCAACACUACCAGCUAUAGACUUGUUUUUGUUGUAUGGGAUUUUCUGCCUUCCAAAGCGCCUUCCCACAAUGUCUGCCAUCCCUGAUUAAAAAAGAAGAAAAAAAAAGGCAGUUAUUAGGCACAGUACAAAAAGAAAGUCUCAAGCAUAUCUGUUCUUCCAUGUACUGAAACUUAAAUCAGUGAGCAGUCAAGUUAUACGUUGAAGUAAAGAAUGUAUAUUACUCAAUUAAAAAAUACCAUCUCCAGCACACAGGUUGCAUAUUGCUGCAAUUGCAACCGGGGAAGUCCUCCAAUAGAUAGCACAAGCCCCAGUAAUUGUCAAGGCAUAGUACAGCGGUCCUUUAAGAAGUUCCCUGAUGAAUGGAGGAAAGAUGAGGUGGUCAAAUUGAGAAGUAUCAUAAAGAAACAAUCAAAGAAUAUCAUGAUGUGUCAACUCCAAAAAAGUAAUGGAUCGCUUAGAAAACAAGAAGUGUUUGUUCAGAAACCUUUAUCUAAGAAAAAUAAGCGCCAGCCUAGAAGUUAUCUUCAUAACAAAACAACUCACUUAAAAAAUAUGUACAGUAAGUAUCCCGUCUAAUCCACCAAAUCAAAUAAAAUCUUGAGGAACAAAUUAGGAGUAAAUUGCGCAGCUGAAUCAGUUCAAAACAAAAGGGAUCUCUCAGGGAGGGAUCAAGAAUGAGAAGGGAGCCUUCAAGACAUUUAACACAGGGAGGCUUCAUGAAUUUUACAUCCAGAGCUGCAAGUUAUAACCUGCGGUCUCCAAAUCUGCUCAUUGAUUUCACCGUAGCUUCAUCUUUCCACAUUCCAGAUCCAAUAAGAAGAAUUUGUAUUAUGUUAACACCAGGUGUAAAAGCUGCAAAAAGUGCUCCCCGACGCCCAGAACUACAAUAAUUUGUAAUAGCUGUUUAGGGGGACAGAUUUAUAGCAAUAUUAUGCCAAGCUUCUCUAGUCAUAAAAUUACCUGAAAAUCGGCCAACACAGCAUAAAAACUAACCCGAUGCUUAUAUGCACGAGCUUCCUAUUCAGUUUCUAAACAAAGAAAAGAAAAAGGACAAUCAACCCCUAAUUAGCUGAACACGAAAGGAGAUUUCAUAGGAGAAGAUUGAUAUUUCACGUCCCAUUUUAAGAAACAAGGUAUGACUCACAGACAAAAUCUCCUAUGAAGCAAAUAAUAAAUGAAUAUCACCUCAUGGAAUCCAUCAAAAAGCAGAAAUUAACAUCGAUAUUGCAUGUAAAUUCGAUAUUGCAUGUAAAUUCCCAGUAGUCGUUAUACAAGCUUGUUAAUCAAAAUAUAGUGUAAAAAAUCAAGCAAAAAAAAAAAAAACCUGGUCAAGCCCAUGUUUUGCGGUUUCUUUCCAUAGUUGCAGAAACGCGAAAAUAACAACAGCCGACACAACAGCCGAGCAAAGAUCGGAGACAACUGGGUUACUACCGGUCCACAUUGCAGCAGCCCACCGUAAUAUGCUUAUCUUUGUCAACGUUUUAAGGCCUAAUUAACAACAAAAAGUUUGGUUUUUGUUUGUUUUCCGGAAGGGUAGCCUUGCCAACCUAGAAUAAAUUUCAUGAACCAUUACUCUUCUGGAAGUUUGUGUUAUUUCACAUAAUAAUAAAUUAUAUUUAAUAAAAAGUCAUGUUACACAAAAAUAAAAUCAAGGAGACAUUUUUUAUAUUUUUUCCUGAAACCAUUAUGCUUCUCAUAAAAAUUAUGUUAUUUAAUCUUAAUCAGAAUGUUGUUUCAGAUGUUUAAUUAAUUAAAAUGUCAUGUCAGCAAAAAUAAAAUUAAGAAGAUACCUUUUAUUAUUUCUUAUGAACCACUGAACUCCUCAAAUAGUGAUCACUUGUAUUUAAUUAAAAUAUCAUUGUCAAAACAAACACAAAAUUGAGGAGACAUCUUUAAUACUUUCUUUAAUACCAAAAGUAAAGGAAAUUGAACGAAUCUAAAAUUUAUUUUUUAAGAUAUGCUAGUUGUAUUCAUGUUUUUCUAAUUUAAAUAAAAUUAAUAUAUAUAUAUACACACACUCGCGCGGGCGCGUGAUUUUUUAUGUAGUGUAUUGAACAAAUAUUACCUAUAUAGAACUGUAAAGUGAACAUUAAAAGAAUCUAUUUAAAAGUAUAUGAAAUAGACAUGACGAGAUAUCAUUUAAAAUGGUAAUAGCUAUGAGUCGUAAUUGUUGAGUUUUUGUUUUUUUUUUCAUUUAACUAGAAUCUACUUCCAUUCCCUCUUCUUCUUCUUUUUUUAAGUAUCGUGGAAAUUGUAAUAAUUUUUUAAUAUUUCAAGUACCAAUCAAAUUAUAUUUUCUUUAUUAAAAAAAUAUUUUUUAAAGAAAAUAUAAACAAUCAAGUAGAAAAAAAUAAAAGUAGAAAUACUUAAUAAUUUUUUAGGGGCCCGGCCCCUUGCAAGAAAUUUUAUUUUUCAAGCCUCUAUUCUAGUAGUUUGGUGAUGUAUUUAAGGGCUUGCCCAAUAAAUUAUCAACACAUUUACAUCUAUGUGAAAAAUAUAUUAUUUCUGGGAAACAUUUAUUUGGUGGAAUAAUUAAUAAAGAUGAGCAAAAAAAUCAAAAAAUUGAUUAAACCAAGAAAAUUAGAAAAAAAAUAACUAAAAAAACUGAAUCGUGAAAAAAAACAGAUUAAACCGAUUAGAAUUUUGAAAAAACCGACCGGUUUGAUUUUGGUUUUAUAAGCUUGAAACCGAAAAAACCGAACCGAACCCAAACAAAAAAAACAAAAAAAACAGAGCCAAACCGGUUUGAAGCGGUUUUUGUUAUGAAAAACAGAACCGAACCAAAACCGGUCGGUUUGAAUCGGUUUCGGUUUUUUAAAAAAUAUAUUUUUUUUGGUAUAGUUUUUUUUUUUAAUAAAAACCGAACCGAACUGAAAAUAAUAACCCCUACUAACCAAGUAUUAUAUUAUAGAUGAGUGGGGAGCUGGAAUAUUGAGUUUACCAGUAAUAAAUGAAUUUGGAUUUAUAAAAUUAAAAUCCGUUUUAUAAUUAUACUAACGAUCAAACUGAAACCCAGAUAAUCCGUCACUGAAACUUCUCACGCCAAUAGAAAAUGGAGGGCGUUGUGAAAUGGUAUUCACAAUCACACUUCACAACUGUGCUUGGAGAUUAGCACCAAAGCAGAGAAAAAAGAAAAAGAAAUCAGAGGAUAUUACGGGCCUUGGUAGUGGAAAAUGCCGAAAACUUACAAAGCCACUGGGCCUAGAAGAUGGCGCUACCCGCCACGAGAGUGAUGGCAAUUGACACCCUCAAAACAACCACACAACUCGAAUAUACAGGAUACGGACAUGACGAAAGCAGAUUAUUUGAGAUUGAAUUUCAACUUAUUUUUAUUACAUUUUAUUUUUUAAAAUUUUUUAUUUUUAAAUUAUUUUAAUAUGCUAAUAUUAAAAAUAUUUUUUUAAAAAAUAUUUUAAUACAAUGCUUUAAAAAGCAACUGAACACAUCCAUAUACAGCAGCCCCUACGCCAUAUACAGCAACCACACAGAGAAUCCAACAAAACAAGGUUUUGUCACCUUCUUGGUUACAACAAGGUUUGGGUAAAUCAUUUACCCAAACGUCGCAACUGAGUUCCCCUUUACACAUGACGAAACCUAGAUGCCACUAACCUCACCAGCCAUGGCUCCAAGAGACCCACCAUCACCGCCCCCAAGAAGAUGCUAUUCUCCUUAAUUGAUAGACUAUGGGCCUCGGAAUCAUUAAACUUUAUUUAGUUUGAUAGAUCAACUGCUGACCGUUUAUUUAUAACCUAGUCUAUACUAGGUUUUAAAUUACUAGUCUAUACUAGGUUUUAAAUUAAUAAAAGAGCUGAUAAGUCAACUAACAAUAUAUAAUUAAUAGGUUAAAAACCUAUUUUGACUUUUAUUUUUUUUCUUCCAAAAUAAUGUUUUAUUCUUCUUUAAAAAAAACUCUUAAAAUGAAAAUAUUUUAAAUUAAAUUUAAUUUUCUUUCAAAAUAAUGUUUUAUUCUUCUUUAAAAAAAACUCUUAAAAUGAAAAUAUUUUAAAUUAAAUUUAAUUAACUCAUACAACCGGUAACCUAGAACACCAGUAGAGUUUAAUAACUUUAGCGUGCCUUACGUUCCUCUAAGGCAGUGUCCUGUUGCUAUCCAGAUAUGAAAUGCAUGAAACAAAAUAAUACAAAAAAGAAUAAGUAACUGGUUGGAAAUGUAGUGUAAAACACGUUUUUAAAAUUUUAAUUUUUUUAUUUAAAAUAAUUUUUUUAUAUAUUUUUAGAUUAUUUUAAUAUUUAAAAAUUAAAAUUAAUUUUUUUAUUUUAAUAUAUUUUUAAAUAAAAAAUAUUUUAAUAAUUAUAUUUUUAAAUAAAGUAAUCUUCUUGGUAUCCUAUUUGAUUGAUUGAUGACAAGAAAGUACAAAGUUGUUACUAUUGUAUUGUUUUGUCUUUAUAUAAUAUGUAUAUUUUACUAAUUUAAUAAUUCUCAAAGAUUUGUUUUCAUGCUAUGCAAAAAUAAAUAAAUAAAUAAAAUAAGUAUUAAUUUAGUAAUUAAUAUUUUGUUAAUAUAUUCUAAAAAUUUUAAUAUAUUGAUAUUACAAAUAAAAAAAAUAAAAAAAAUAAAUAUAUUUUCAAAUAAAAAUUACAAAGCAACAAGGCAAUUCAAACAAUAAAAGCAAGGCAAUUCAAACAAUAAAAGCAUAGAACCAUUAAUAGAACAAUAAAAGCAACUCAAACCCGAAAGUACCAAAUUAUCAUUUAUAGAACCAUUAAGUUGAGGUCAUAGUUAGUUUACAGAUGGGUGCGUUUGUUUAGCCUUCGUUUUUGUAUUUGCGGUGUAAAAAACACAGCUAGGUACUUGAUAAUAUAUUAAAAUACGUUUUAUAUCAUGGAGCCCACUAAAAAAUUAAGUUUGAAACACAAUUUUUGUAAAGCAGUUUUUGCAUGUUUUUUUAAUCAAGUUUUGUAAAACCUUGUUUGUUUUUGCGUUUCAAAAGCAUUUCUUUUUAAAUUUCAAAAUUUUUUGUUUUUUUCUUCACUUCAAAUUAUUUUUUUCUGUAUUUUUCAUAUUAUUUUGAUGCGCUGAUAUUAAAAAUAAUUUUUAAAAAAUAAAAAAAAUUAUUUUGAUACAUUUCUAAGUAAAAAACACUUUUGAAAAGCAACCAUAACCAAACAUUUUAUACAUGUUUUUUGCUGCACAUAAACCUCAACCAUAAUUUUUCCCAAACACGUAUUAACUAACCACAUCUAAUCAUACUUUUUUUAAUCUUAUUUUUUUAAAACCACAAUCACAAAAGUUACCACAAAAACAAACACUUCGCAGAGACCGUUUGUUUACGCGGCUGCGGCAGCUUUUAAAGCAAACCACGUAAAGUGUAAUACGUUUGGUAACAUUAAAACUCAAAUUACUGUGUAUGUGAGGCCCGUUGAAACCACCGGUUCAUCAAAAGCAACUCUCAGCUGCUUCUCAUGAGGUCGCAUCUAUGCCAGAUGAAUUAAUUUACAUAGACACUGUUCACUUCUUGAAGUGAACAAUGUCUCAACUGUUUAUAGGACCGCGUCCGACUCGAUAUUUUUUUAAUUGUAUUUUACUUGAAAAACUAAUGUUUAAUAUUAUUCAAUAACACUACAUAAAAUAGAAGGACAUCGCAUGAUGACGUAGCAUUUACAAAAUUUGAUCGCAAUUCCAAUUUUAUUUCUGAUGAUAUUUUACCUGAUUUUGCUGCACGCUCAAAAUACCUUGAAAACUAUAGUCCUUAUCGGAUGAAUUUUAUACGUGAUGAAAUUGUAAAUAAGUUAACGAAAUAACAAAAAAUAUUUAAUAUAAAGUAUUAUUUAUUUAAUGAUGUAAUAAUGACAGUUAAAUCUACAAUAUUUAAAUUAAAAACCAUCAAUAUUAAUAUAUAUCUUUUUUAAUUAUUUUAUAACCUCAAUUUGAAAAGUAUUUUUAACCAAACACAUUAAACUACUUUUUAUUCAACCUCAAUUUCAAUCACAGUUUUAACCAAACAUAUAUAAAUACCAAACUAACCUCGAUUAAAAAUAUUUUUUAUAAAAUAAUUUUUUUUUAAAUCACAACCAUAAAAACUACCACAAUUCUUAACACACAGGAUCAGUUGAAACUGAGUUUCAAAUUAAAGGCUUCACGUUCAAAUUAUCAGAGAGCGCCAUUUAAGGAAAAAAAAAUUAAAAAAUAGUGAAAUCAGGUCUCUACCAGGAAUCUCUAGUCCAUAGGAUAAGCGAACAGGACCCGUACAAGCACUGAGUUCAGCGCUGAUUAGGUGAGGACUCAAUUCAGGAAGCUGUCCCUUUUCACUUGGUUAGGCCGUGGGGCUCAUAAGAAGUAUUAGUACAUUCGAGUUUUUGACCAUCGACACUUCUCACACGUAAUACAUUAAGCAUGAAUUGACCAAAGAUAGAAGAAUGCUAGCUCACAAGCAAACAGCAAUUCUUGACAUCAGAAAACAAGGUUCCCCAACAAUAUAGAAGUUAGGGUAACUGUUAGGUUAUCAUCAAGCUCUGUACUUAUGGAGUGAUUCCACAAAAGCCGAGGCAAGAGAGACAACCAAGAAACCUAAUAACAUCUCCCAGCUUUUCUGAACAUAU
RNAcentral lists this long non-coding RNA (7010 nucleotides) under Populus trichocarpa (black cottonwood). Its description in RNAcentral is "long non-coding RNA (PTRI_LNC002308)". Lineage: Eukaryota; Viridiplantae; Streptophyta; Magnoliopsida; Malpighiales; Salicaceae. The record is from RNAcentral.